UGCGAAGGUAGCAUAAUCAUUAGCCUUUUGAUUUGAGGCUGGAAUGAAUGGUCUGACGAGAGGCAACCUGUCUCCUUAAUUAACUUGAAUUUAAUCUUUAAGUGAAAAAGCUUAAAUAGCCUUGGAGGACGAUAAGACCCUAUAGAUCUUUACAUCCGGCUUUUUCAUCUAACGGUGGGUAAUCGGGUGGAAGAGAAGGAUGUUUGGUUGGGGCGACGUCGAGAGGAGAAUAAACACUCGAGAAUAUACAUACAUCAAUAAAUGAUCAUUGAUCCUUAGAUGAAAAUAGAGUAAGUUACCUUAGGGAUAACAGCGUAAUUCUUUUUGAGAGCUCAAAUCGACAAAAGAGUUUGCGACCUCGAUGUUGGUUCAGGGACCCUAUUUGGUGCAGCAGCUUAAUCAGGUAGUCUGUUCGACUAUUAAACCCCUACG
Molecule: ribosomal RNA, 432 nt
Filed under: Artemia urmiana
Lineage: Eukaryota; Metazoa; Arthropoda; Branchiopoda; Anostraca; Artemiidae
Description: partial 16S ribosomal RNA
Rfam family: Archaeal large subunit ribosomal RNA
Source: RNAcentral